RNAcentral lists this ribosomal RNA (478 nucleotides) under uncultured bacterium. Its description in RNAcentral is "partial 16S ribosomal RNA". It matches the Rfam family "Bacterial small subunit ribosomal RNA", at positions 28 to 507 of the family's 1533-position model. The record is from RNAcentral.
GAUGAACGCUGGCGGCGUGCUUAACACAUGCAAGUCGAACGAGAAGUGGAGACGGAAACCUUCGGGCGGAAGACUUUACUUCGAGUGGCGGACGGGUGAGUAACGCGUGGGUAACCUGCCUCAUACAGGGGGAUAACAGUUGGAAACGACUGUUAAUACCGCAUAAGACCACAGCACCGCAUGGUGCGGGGGUAAAAACUCCGGUGGUAUGAGAUGGACCCGCGUUCGAUUAGCCAGUUGGCGGGGUAACGGCCCACCAAAGCGACGAUCGAUAGCCGAUCUGAGAGGAUGACCGGCCACAUUGGGACUGAGACACGGCCCAAACUCCUACGGGGGGCAGCAGUGGGGAAUAUUGCACAAUGGGGGAAACCCUGAUGCAGCGACGCCGCGUGAGUGAAGAAGUAUUUCGGUAUGUAAAGCUCUAUCAGCAGGGAAGAAAAUGACAGUACCUGAGUAAGAAGCCCCGGCUAACUACGUG